AUGUGCCACUCGAGCACUGCAGUUCCCACACGGCGCAUGCUCACCUGACGAUGCUCGCUAUGUUUUGUAGAC
This 72-nucleotide small RNA is filed under the name Xanthomonas cannabis. Its description in RNAcentral is "sX9". Lineage: Bacteria; Pseudomonadati; Pseudomonadota; Gammaproteobacteria; Lysobacterales; Lysobacteraceae. The record is from RNAcentral.